RNAcentral lists this unclassified non-coding RNA (310 nucleotides) under Cruckshanksia palmae. RNAcentral describes it as "partial external transcribed spacer". The record is from RNAcentral. Lineage: Eukaryota; Viridiplantae; Streptophyta; Magnoliopsida; Gentianales; Rubiaceae.
GUUCGGUGUGGGCGCGAUUCGCGCCAAUUUCGGGCAAAUAGGGAUCGAGGACCCCGUGCCCCCAACGUUUUCGGCAUCCCCGAGUCGGGCGAGCGUUCGGGCGCCGCAACGAGAGCGCCACGGCAACCGAAUCGGAACACGAACGACGCCUUGGGUUCACCCGGAGCCGUACGAACGGGCAGUACCGGGACGAACGAUGUUACUUGGGAGAACGAAUUCCAUCAACGUAGGUACGUAACACAGGAACCGAACAAACAGACGAGGCUAAAGUCGCUCUCGCACCGACGAUGAAGAGAACACACGGAAGGAC